GGAACAACUCUUGCUGUUCUUACUACCUUGACAUUGGGAACAUCAAUGGCUGCUCGUCAAGGUCCAGUAGCUAUGGCUGCUCAUCAGAUAUGUAUACAAGUUUGGUUGGCUGUAUCCCUUCUAACUGAUGCAAUGGCUGCAUCUGGUCAGGCCCUGAUUGCUACUUAUUUAUGUAAAGGUGAAUACAAAAUUGUGAAAGAAGUUGCUGACUCCGUGUUAAAGAACAAGUGUUAGAAGGCCAUAAAGAAAUAGCCACAAGUUCUGAUACAUGUACAUAAAAAGUGUGAAGUUCAAACCUACAGACGACAAGAGAAGAAGGAAGCUCUGUCCCAUAGAGGUGAUCCGUGGAGUAAACAUGUUUAUGCCACCAUUCCAAAUUGACUGGCCCCUCGAAUUGCACAAUGGCAAUAUGCUCUCCUCCUGCGACUCUAAAGUAGGCAAAACACUGGUGUUGGAA
Molecule: long non-coding RNA, 457 nt
Organism: Prunus persica (peach)
Lineage: Eukaryota; Viridiplantae; Streptophyta; Magnoliopsida; Rosales; Rosaceae
Exons: 3
Source: RefSeq, a predicted model, not a curated record